UAAUGAGGCACCAUCAGACCAUCGUCAUCAUCAUCACCAUUACACAGGCUGGGAAGUAUCUCAGGUAUCCCGAUCUCACAUUGAUUCCAUUUCAGAAUAAUUCUCUUCUGUUUAGUUCGUUUCAGCUAAUUAUUAAGCCUAUUUAGAUUAGUCUCCGCUCUUGUGGCCUCAGGGUCUCUGUGUAUUGCGGUUGCUACUGCCGUCACCAUCCAUGUGCUAAAACUGUUUGUUUUAAUUCGAUUUUCUCAUCCUGUAUCCUAUUUCAUGCGAUUCGAAAUGACAGGUUCAGGUGCUCUACUCUGCUCUGCGCUGCGGCAUAC
This 320-nucleotide long non-coding RNA is filed under the name Drosophila guanche. Lineage: Eukaryota; Metazoa; Arthropoda; Insecta; Diptera; Drosophilidae. The record is from RNAcentral.